AUGUGAAGAAAGCUGUCUGCUCAAGAUGGCUCCCUACCUCUGAGCCUGGGGGGGGGCAGUGGGGGAGAGGAGUCCAGGUGUGAGAUGAAUCUUUGGCUCUGACUCCUGGGGCUGCCCAGGUAAAUAGAGCUGUCAGAAAUACCCAGAAGGAGCCAGCUGUUUCCUGAAGGGCUCUCUCCCACAUGCCUGGGAGCUGCAUGACCAGGCUUGAGCCUCCUCCUCCACCUUUUGCCUCAGAGCCCCAGUGCCGCAGCACCCUGCAAGCCUGUUUCACAGAUGAAGGGCUGCGGCCACGAGCGGACAGAAAUGGCAGAAAGGACAGAGCUGUGCGUGUUUGUUCAGAAGAAACUGUUUAUCUGGGGAACUAUAUGUCAAACCCGGCCUUACUGGCCGACAAUAGUGGUUUGCCCAGAUAAUUUAUGCCACCAAAUGAACAUCAAGCCGGGCUGUGUAGAGCUAGAGGCUUUUCUUGAAAAAUGUCUAAUGGACUGGUGUUGAAAACCAUUGUAAACCAAGGCUUUGGAGACCCAGGCUGGGAGAGACUCUGGGUCUGCGGCAGUCCAGCCUGAAGUCCUCAGGCAAUUCUCUAAUCAUCUUCGUGGCAUGGUUUUGCUAUCAUUUCCAAUGACCCAUGGACUUGGGAGUUGUUCUUUAUGUCAUCCGACAUGUUAUAUUGGUGAUGUUCUUGUUCAAUAUGUUUAUUGUUAAAUUUUAGAAUGGGAAGAUUAAUAUAGACUCUCCCACCUUACACAACAAUUUGACUGCUGAAACACUGUAUAUACAAUAUAUAUUAUCAAUAAAGUCACAUUUAUGUGAAUCAGAGGUGUUGGCCAUUAAAAGGAA
This is a long non-coding RNA of Lutra lutra (Eurasian river otter), 843 nucleotides long. RefSeq lists it as uncharacterized. Lineage: Eukaryota; Metazoa; Chordata; Mammalia; Carnivora; Mustelidae. The transcript is spliced from 3 exons. The record is from RefSeq and is a predicted model, not a curated record.